Molecule: unclassified non-coding RNA, 266 nt
Filed under: Glomus sp.
Lineage: Eukaryota; Fungi; Glomeromycota; Glomeromycetes; Glomerales; Glomeraceae
Description: partial internal transcribed spacer 2
Rfam family: 5.8S ribosomal RNA (bases 1-65)
Source: RNAcentral
GUGAAUCAUCGAAUUUUUGAACGCAAAUUGCACUCUCCUGGGAGAGUAUGCCCGUUUCAGGUUCAGCCUCUAUAAAAUCAACAUCGUUGCGGUUUCGCGGUGGCGUCCGUCGGAGAUGGAGCCAUCUUAAAUCUUUUGGGGUUACGCGACUUAAAAUUUUCUUUUUGGUUACAUGAACGUUUCUAAGAUUUAUUUGUUUACACGUUUAAGGUAUCGAUUUUUAUUAGACGUGACCAGCAUAUCGAAUCGCGCCCAUUAUCUUUCAU